AGAGUUUGAUCCUGGCUCAGGAUGAACGCUGGCGGCGUGCCUAAUACAUGCAAGUCGAGCGAACAGAUGAGGAGCUUGCUCCUUUGACGUUAGCGGCGGACGGGUGAGUAACACGUGGGUAACCUACCUAUAAGACUGGGAUAACUUCGGGAAACCGGAGCUAAUACCGGAUAAUAUUUCGAACCGCAUGGUUCGAUAGUGAAAGAUGGCUCUGCUAUCACUUAUAGAUGGACCUGCGCCGUAUUAGCUAGUUGGUAAGGUAACGGCUUACCAAGGCAACGAUACGUAGCCGACCUGAGAGGGUGAUCGGCCACACUGGAACUGAGACACGGUCCAGACUCCUACGGGAGGCAGCAGUAGGGAAUCUUCCGCAAUGGGCGAAAGCCUGACGGAGCAACGCCGCGUGAGUGAUGAAGGUCUUCGGAUCGUAAAACUCUGUUAUUAGGGAAGAACAAACGUGUAAGUAACUGUGCACGUCUUGACGGUACCUAAUCAGAAAGCCACGGCUAACUACGUGCCAGCAGCCGCGGUAAUACGUAGGUGGCAAGCGUUAUCCGGAAUUAUUGGGCGUAAAGCGCGCGUAGGCGGUUUUUUAAGUCUGAUGUGAAAGCCCACGGCUCAACCGUGGAGGGUCAUUGGAAACUGGAAAACUUGAGUGCAGAAGAGGAAAGUGGAAUUCCAUGUGUAGCGGUGAAAUGCGCAGAGAUAUGGAGGAACACCAGUGGCGAAGGCGACUUUCUGGUCUGUAACUGACGCUGAUGUGCGAAAGCGUGGGGAUCAACCAGGAUUAGAUACCCUGGUAGUCCACGCCGUAAACGAUGAGUGCUAAGUGUUAGGGGGUUUCCGCCCCUUAGUGCUGCAGCUAACGCAUUAAGCACUCCGCCUGGGGAGUACGACCCGCAAGGUUGAAACUCAGAGGAAUUGGACGG
This 929-nucleotide ribosomal RNA is filed under the name uncultured bacterium. RNAcentral's name for it is "bacterial SSU rRNA". It matches the Rfam family "Bacterial small subunit ribosomal RNA", at positions 8 to 917 of the family's 1533-position model. The record is from RNAcentral.